RNAcentral lists this microRNA precursor (106 nucleotides) under Canis lupus familiaris (dog). RNAcentral's name for it is "mir-8834 microRNA precursor family". It matches the Rfam family "mir-8834 microRNA precursor family". Lineage: Eukaryota; Metazoa; Chordata; Mammalia; Carnivora; Canidae. RNAcentral also lists the same sequence under 1 other name. The record is from Rfam by way of RNAcentral.
AGGAGGAACAAUCACAGUGGCAGCGGCCAGCUCUGGAGCCCUGGAUUCAGCUCCUGCAGUAGCUACAGAGCUCUCCGUCUGCAGGGCCUGGAGGCUCCGGGGCGGG